This is a long non-coding RNA of Carcharodon carcharias (great white shark), 640 nucleotides long. RefSeq lists it as uncharacterized. The transcript has 3 exons. NCBI's taxonomy places the organism in Eukaryota, Metazoa, Chordata, Chondrichthyes, Lamniformes, Lamnidae. The record is from RefSeq and is a predicted model, not a curated record.
CAGCACUUUCUGAUUUUAUUUUGAAAUUCCAGAAUACAUAACAUUUUGCUCUGGAUGAGUGAUUUCUGAUUAUCAAGGAGGAAAAGGGACAUUUUCCAAUUAUUGAACCCAAUGAGUCAAGGAAAUGCCUCCCCAUUCAGGCACUUAAUUCCUGUUAUGGACAAGUUGUUCCUCUUAGCUACAAUGAACAUCAUGAGGAAAGCAGGCUCCUUGAUGGUACAGAGAUUAUUGAACAAGGCGGGAAGCUAUUGGAUAAGCAGAUCUUUCUUGACAAAAUCUUCUCUCAAAGAAUUUUGAUGACGUGAAGAGUGUCACCAACAAUGAGAAUCACUUCUUGUUUCAUUAUCACUGCUGGUUGUCUUUAGGGAAAAGGCUACAAUCCCUCAGAUGCAGGACAAAUUAGCAGUUGGACUGCUAAAGUUAAAUCAUAAAACAGCUGAAAUACCAACUCCUCAAAACUCUAAACAGACUGAUGACUGUGCCAUCACAAGCAUUCAUAUUUGCUUCCGCUCUUUCCUGGGAAAACAAGAAAAAAGGCCCGGAUUUCUGCUAACUGAAAAAACUCUUCAAUUCGGGGACAUUGGUGAUGGCUUUUUGUACUGAUUGAACAAUACCCCAAUAAAAAAAACCUGCAAAUCCA